CUCUCCGCCGGCGACCGGCGCACGGGUGAGUAACACGUAUGCAACCUGCCCCUGUCAGGGGGACAACCCGCCGAAAGGCGGGCUAAACCCGCGUACAUGCCACCGGGGCAUCCCGGAGGCAGGAAAGGCUUCGGCCGGACAGGGAUGGGCAUGCGGCGCAUUAGGCAGUAGGCGGGGUAACGGCCCACCUAACCGACGAUGCGUAGGGGUUCUGAGAGGAAGGUCCCCCACACUGGUACUGAGACACGGACCAGACUCCUACGGAAGGCAGCAG
This 274-nucleotide ribosomal RNA is filed under the name uncultured bacterium. RNAcentral describes it as "partial 16S ribosomal RNA". It matches the Rfam family "Bacterial small subunit ribosomal RNA", at positions 81 to 354 of the family's 1533-position model. The record is from RNAcentral.